CCUAGGGGAGGCAGCAGUAGGGAAUAUUAGGCAAUGGAGGAAACUCUGACCCAGCGACGCCGCGUGAGGGAUGGAGGCCUUCGGGUUGUCUACCUCCUUUCGCAAGGGAAGAAACGAUACAGUCUAAUAAACUGUGUUAAUGACGGUACCUAAAGAAGAAGCACCGGCUAACUAUGUGCCAGCAGCCGCGG
This 191-nucleotide ribosomal RNA is filed under the name uncultured bacterium. Its description in RNAcentral is "partial 16S ribosomal RNA". It matches the Rfam family "Bacterial small subunit ribosomal RNA", at positions 338 to 520 of the family's 1533-position model. The record is from RNAcentral.